UACAAUAACAAACUGCUGCAUGUUUGGCAGGCUCAGAACAAAGAGGCAGCUGUCUGGAUUCCUGGGUCCUGCUCCUAACGCUGUCAUUUUAACAUCACCAAUAAGUCCUGUGAAGCUCAGGAAAAGUUUUGAAAGCGUUUUAAGGUUGAGAUCUGUAAAAGGUUUUAAGUUCAAGCGAGGGAUAAUGCAAUUCUCGUGAAAGACACAGGUUUUUAAUUCAAGAGUGUGAGUAUGUUUAUUGAGAACAGGUUGACAUACAGAUUUUUGUUUAAAAUAGCUGACACAUUUUCUCUUUUCUAACUGCUAUAAAGAACGCAUCAUGAAAUUAAGACACCUAUUAUUGUGUAGGCUUCCUGUUACUAAAUGAAGCCUGAUGUAUCUGACUGACAUAAUGUACUGAUGCAGUGCUGGGUUUGACAUGACUCUUUGGAGGAGUGGAACAAAAGUGCUCCUGAGGAAUGUCGAUUAACAUGGGCCUUUGACAUCUUGAAGUCUUUCAGUGCUUUUGAAGCAAGACUUCAAAGCGACGUGUCGGAUUCCUCUGUAUCUAAUGAUAGUGUUGACAUGUAACUGUGUUCCGCAAGUACUGGAAUCCAGAUGCUGUUCUAGCUUUUAUCUUGUUUCUAGCAAAGGAACCGAUCCACCAACCCCAACAGAAUGCCCUCCAACAAGUACUUGAAAUGGCAAUACCCGCACUUGGCCAAACAGAACAGGGGUCACCUUUAUUCUGUGCGCUAAUUCAAGUGAUGCUGCUCCUGAUACACGCUAAUGGGUAUUGAGUCCUAUAAGAUCAUCAAUUUUGCUCCAAGUCUACUGCAAAUCAUAGUAUCAGAUCAAGUUGAAUUUCCAGUGCGUCAAGCAGCUGCCAUUUACCUGAAGAACAUGGUGACACAGUACUGGCCGGACCGUGAACCACCUCCUGGAGAAGCAAUAUUUCCAUUCAACAUUCAUGAAAAUGAUCGUCAGCAGAUUCGUGAUAACAUUGUAGAAGGAAUAAUUCGUUCUCCUGACUUAGUGAGAGCCCAGCUGACAAUGUGCCUCCGUGCUAUCAUUAAACAUGACUUUCCUGGUCAUUGGACAGCCGUGGUAGACAAGAUAGGCUACUACUUGCAGUCUCAGAACAGUGGGAGUUGGCUUGGGAGCCUCCUGUGCCUGUAUCAGCUGGUGAAGACUUACGAAUACAAAAAAGCAGAGGAGCGAGAUCCUCUCAUAGCAGCAAUGCAAAUAUUUUUGCCUCGGAUUCAGCAGCAGAUGAUCCAGCUUCUGCCUGAUAACUCCCAUUACUCUGUACUGCUUCAGAAACAAAUCUUAAAAAUCUUCUAUGCUCUUGUUCAGUAUGCAUUGCCACUCCAGUUGGUGAAUAACCAGACUAUGACUCAGUGGAUGGAGAUCUUCCGUACUAUCAUUGACAGAAAUGUACCUCCGGAGACUUUGCAAAUUGAUGAAGAUGAUAGACCAGAGCUGGUGUGGUGGAAAUGCAAGAAGUGGGCAUUGCAUAUAGUAGCUCGUCUUUUUGAACGGUAUGGAAGUCCUGGAAAUGUGACUAAAGAAUACUUUGAAUUCUCAGAGUUUUUUUUAAAAACGUACGCUGUGGGCAUACAACAGGUUCUCUUAAGAAUCUUAGACCAAUACAGGCAAAAAGACUAUGUUGCGCCACGUGUUCUUCAGCAAACGUUAAAUUAUCUGAACCAAGGGGUUAUUCACUCUGUAACGUGGAAGCAAAUGAAGCCACACAUACAGAGUAUAACAGAAGAAGUGAUAUUCUCUCUAAUGUGCUACAAAGAUGAGGACGAAGAGCUCUGGCAAGAGGAUCCAUAUGAAUAUAUCCGCAUGAAAUUUGAUGUAUUUGAGGAUUAUGCAUCAACUACAACAGCAGCACAGAAUCUCCUUUAUACUGCUGCGAAGAAGAGAAAAGAGGUAUUACCAAAAAUGAUGGCAUAUUGCUACCAGAUUCUGACAGAGCCAAAUAUUGAUCCAAGGAAAAAAGAUGGAGCUCUGCAUGUUAUAGGGUCACUAGCAGAUAUUUUACUGAAGAAGAGUGUCUUCAAAGAUCAAAUGGAGCUGAUGUUACAGAAUCAUGUAUUUCCAUUGUUCAUGUCUAACCUGGGGUACCUCAGAGCUAGAUCCUGUUGGGUACUUCAUUCAUUCAGUGCUUUGAAAUUUCACAAUGAGCUAAACUUGAGGAACGCAGUAGAGUUGGCAAAGAAGAGCCUGAUUGAUGAUAAGGAAAUGCCUGUCAAAGUAGAAGCGGCCAUAGCUCUUCAGACGUUAAUCAGCAACCAAGAGCAAGCCAAGGAGUAUGUAAAACCUUAUGUGAGGCCAGUUAUGCAAGAGCUCUUGCACAUUGUUAGAGAGACGGAAAAUGAUGAUCUUACUAAUGUAAUCCAGAAGAUGAUCUGUGAGUACAGUCAGGAAGUAGCUACUAUCGCCGUUGACAUGACUCAACACCUGGCUGAAAUAUUUGGUAAAGUACUUCAGAGUGAGGAAUAUGAGGAAGUAGAGGACAAAACGGUCAUGGCCAUGGGCAUCUUGCACACAAUUGACACCAUCCUGACAGUUGUGGAAGAUCACAAGGAGAUAACUCAACAGCUUGAGAGCAUUUGUUUACAGAUCAUUGGCCUUGUUUUGCAGAAACACGUUAUAGAGUUUUACGAAGAAAUUCUUUCCUUGGCCUACAGCUUGACAUGCCAGAUGAUUUCACCUCAAAUGUGGCAGCUUUUAGGUGUUCUGUAUGAGGUUUUCCAGCAGGAUUGCUUUGAGUACUUUGCAGAUAUGAUGCCUCUCUUGCAUAAUUAUGUGACCAUUGACACUGAUACUUUACUGUCUAACCCAAAGCAUUUAGAAAUCAUUUAUGCGAUGUGUAAAAAGGUACUAACAGGAGAUGCAGGAGAAGAUGCAGAGUGCCAUGCAGCCAAACUCCUAGAAGUAAUUGUUCUUCAAUGCAAAGGACGGGGUAUUGACCAGUGUAUUCCACUCUUUGUGGAGGCUGUUCUGGAGCGGUUAACUAGAGGAGUUAAAACAAGCGAGCUUCGUACCAUGUGUCUUCAGGUUGCCAUAGCUGCACUCUACUACAAUCCUGACCUACUUCUGCACACCUUAGAGAACAUCAGAUUUCCACACAAUCCUGAGCCCAUCACCGCACAGUUUAUAAACCAGUGGAUGAAUGACACAGACUGUUUUCUUGGACUCCAUGACAGAAAGAUGUGUAUAAUAGGACUGAGCAUCCUAAUGGAAUUGCAGAACCGACCGCCUGCAGUGGAUGCUGUGGCUGCUCAGAUUGUCCCUUCAAUCCUCCUCCUCUUCCUGGGCUUAAAACAAGUUUGCGCCUCACGAGAACUCACAGAACAUGAGGAUCAUGCUAAAGAUGAAAAACACGUUGCAGAAGAUAAUGAAGAGAUACCAAGUGAUGAGGAGGAGACAAAUGAAGUGAGUCAGGCGAUGCAAGAGAACCAUGGAGGAGGAGGAGGUGAUGGUGGUGGAGGUGGAGAUGAAGAGGAUGAAGAUGAUGAUGAUGAUGACUGGGAUGAAGACGCAUUGGAAGAGACUGCUCUUGAAGGGUUCAGCACACCUCUUGACCUUGAAAAUGGUGUUGAUGAAUACCAGUUUUUUACACAAGCACUUUUAGCGGUGCAGAGCCGAGAUGCAGCCUGGUACCAUUCACUGACAGCACCAUUGAGUGAGGAUCAGAAGAAGCAGCUGCAGGAAAUAUAUACAUUAGCAGAACACCGGCGAAAUGCUGCAGAGACUAAGACUAUAGAACAACAAAGUGGCUACACAUUUGACAACAAAGGACUGAUCACAGCAUUUAACUUUGCUGGAAGUACUCCUGGUGGCAACUGAAGGAUCAACUACAAAGGUCAAUGGGAAGGGUCUCAUCAUUACAUUUUCUUGAAAUCAUCGUGACUUCUGAGUGACAGGGGAGGGUAAUUUAAUGCUGCUGAAGGUUUUCUGGAAAAUAGCAGUGUGCUUCCCCCACCAGAAUGCUCUUUCUAACCAGCUACUGUAAUGUACAAAUUCUUGUGGUGUUUUUAUAAUUUGAUGGACUGAAAGGAAACGUUUGUCCUCAAGGAACCUGAAUAACUGGGAGGGGCCAGGCUGCAUCUAAUUGAGUUGCACUUCUCAGGUUUUUGCUGUGCAGAAUUGAUGAUUCAUAUGGAUAACAGUGCCUUCUGUUGUACAUGGAUUGCCUGAACAAAUGGAUUUUGGAGUGCAUUAUAGUUUUUUAAGUGUAAGGACAUUUCUUGAUACACUGUAAGCCUUGGUUCCAUGUUUUCCAGAGUCACCUGCUUUUUACUACUUGGAUUAAUUGUUUGUUGGUUGCAUACACGUUGCUGGAUUCAGGCUAUUAUCUCAUCUUCCCCAUUUGGUGCAGACCAAAUGUGUAGAGGGAGGUGCCUGUUGGAGUUGUAAAGCAUACACUGGUUACGUCAAAGGGUUUCAACAAAAUUGCAGAUUUUCCCUUGAUGCAGUAGUCUUAAAUUAUUUCUCUUAGCCAUGAAAUCAACUCGUUGAGUUAUGGUGGCGUGCAUGGCAGGUGGCUACCCUAAAUCUGCGUUGAUAAUACUUCCUGCCUGGACAAGUGGUGUGGCCCUCACAUGUAGAUGUUCUACAUGACAACUUUUUUAUUUCCACUAUUUUUGAGGAAUAUUGGAUUUUACUUGGGAUUCUAUAAACGUCUUUCCUGGUUUUAUUCAUUCAUUACCAUUCCAGUGGUAGUACUGAAUAAUGUGGUACAAAAUAUUUACAAUAUUUUAUUUAUCUUGAUAGAAGAAAAAGAGCUCCAAACUUAUUUCUUCUUACUCUUACACUUCUGUGAUUGAAUUUCUGGUCUGCAUUCCAUUUGGCUGUUCUUGUCCCAUGCCGAAAUUUCAUUAUCUGCCAGAUUUUUUCCUAAAUUUCCAAGACUGGUUUCUCAUAAAUUGAAACAUGUAUAACAAGGUGUUUGUGAAUAUGCUCAUUUAGUGAGAAAACUGAUAGCAGUACUAAUUUGAAUAGGUGCCCCUCCUUUAGAUCUAUUGGCAUCGCAGUGGUGUAGCCAAAAUAAGUAGGGGUGCUUUCGAAUGUGAAGCUUGGGUUGGAGAUAAAAUGUUUAGACCAGAUUUUGUCUCUAUGUGUUAAUUUCUUUAUGACUUAAAAUAUUUACUGAGCAAUUUUAAGCACAUACUGAUAAUGUAUUUCUUCAGAGCAGUGCCCCAACUGAAAAGUUGAAGCUCUUCCCAUACCCCAUCAACUUUUCGAUGACUGUAGUGAAUUACAGAUUGCUGGCCCUGCACUGUGCUGAAGCUUUCAUUUUUUAUAUGUCAGAGUAAUUAUAAUUCAGUCUGAUAAAUCUGAAGCGCUCGACGCCUUAGCUUCUGGAAAAGGCCAAAGUGGCUCUGCCUGUUCCUUGCCCCAGCCCCUGGAAUUUUCUCAGCCUGGCAGCUGUGGGGCAGCUGCCUCUGCUUUCAUUUUUUAUGCAUCUUUGUGUCAGACUCUGUCUCUGGUGCUGUUCGCUGCUGCUGCUUUCCCUCCCCGCCACCCCAACGCAGCUGCAGACUAAAGUUGGCCUGGUUCAUGUAGGUUUUUCACUGCUGCUACUCACUUAAUAGCAACAGUGAAAAUUUCUCACUUUUAGGUUUGUUGUAUGUAUGGAAGACUGAGAAUACCAGGGCCUGUAUUUCCAAAAGGGAACAAUACAUUUAGCUGCAUUAGACAGGCUUUUUAAGCUCAAGCAGCAGAGGACUGGGACAUCCUUUAUUUUGAACAUCAGGCCAUGAAAAUUAUAGGUCAGUUUUGCUAAUUAAGGCCUGGGGCUGUAUUGACUGAGAUGGUAGGAAGGCAUGACAUCCAGUUUGUUGGUGAGUUUCUCAGAAAGCAUAGAAGUUUUGAGAUCCUUCAUGAAUUUAAGAAAUGUUUUUUGGAAGUUAAGGCCAUGGACCUCUUUUACCUGACAAUUGAGGUUAAGUAUUAGGCAGGUAAACUGUUUAAGCCCUGUAUUAUUUUAUUUAAAAAAAUGAGAAUGUCAAGUUGGGUUUCUUUCAAAGCCUCUUUGCCUUCUCUACACUGGCAUGCAGAGUAAGAAGAGGGAUUUAUUUCUCUUCUGCUAAUGAGGUUGCUUGCACAGUCACAAGCUAAUAGCUAGGAGUUAAUGUGUUCAAGGAAAAAUCUGCUUUUGCGUAGCAUCAUCUUUGUGUCACUCAGCUGAACUAUGGCUGCUCCCUAGUUCUGCUUCUUGUAUACUUUUCAAAUCAACUGCCAAGAAAAUUUCAUCCAGAUGUUUCUUACAAGGGGUUUAAUCAGCAGCAUGGAGUCGGGAAUCUUUGUUGUCUGUUUUGCAGUGGGGGUUAGAGAUGUCUGAGGGGAUGGCAUGUAAAAAGGUUAAAUGCCCUUCCCUUCCCAGGAGAUUCAUGAGCAAAUGUUUCUACUGGCAAAAGCAAAUGUUAAUUAUUUUAUUCCUUUUUUUGAAAAGGGUUUUCAUCCAAAAAGAUUUAUUGGGCUCUAGCCUCCACUUUAGCAUAUGGUUCUCUUUUAACAUGAUAAAUAUCCGUUUGUACAUGAUCAUAAAUAGGUAAUGGAUUUUAGGGAUUUCUUUCUGAGCUGUGUCCAGCUUUGUACUACAUUAAAGGGAGAGUAACACAAAUGUGCAUUACUGUCUCACUUUGAAGCCAAGGUAACCAUGGAAUAUCAGAUACUGUCAUCGGCCAACAAGCAUGAUGUAUUUGCCAUUGAAAGUACAGAGAAUCAUGAAUGUAUUGUAAAAUAAAACAAAGGCAGAUAACUGGUGACCUAUGUUGCCUCAUGCCCAAGUUCCCAAAGUGUGAAGGUGACUUGUAUGGGCACCAUGGGGGCUUUACAUAGGAAAUUAGCAUUAUGUAGGUUAUAAUCAUAGUAAAUGUUAACUUACAUGAUAAGCUGCUUUUUCAGGUAAAAUUAACUGAUCCUGGGUAUUGAAUUGCGUAUGCUGUUUUGUCACUCUUGAAAGGAAAAUAAGAAUUGCCACAUGUUUUGCCUGCUUCUCUUCGCUCUCUCUCUCUUUCAAAAUUGAAGUACUUGGUUUGCUUUCAUUACAAAGCAAAAUCUUGAAUCAAAAUGGCCAGCUCCAGGAGCAUGCAGAAUAUCAAGCUAAGGACAAAGCUGAAAAACCCCAAACCCCAACAGUCCCCCAAAACCCACAUGUGCACAAUCUGAUUGAAAUAAAUGUGCUUUGGGAGUGUAAGUCAAAAUAUGUGAAGAAUGUUACACAAAAUGAUAUCGUGAGAUUCUUUGCUUUAGGAUGAAAGGCAGCCUGCGGGGUGUCAGGGAGACGUGAAUGAACUGCUUUAGGACAUGCCCUUUGCGUGUGAAGUCCAGGCAGUUUGUGACUCUGGAUUCCAUCAUACAUUGCAGAGGAGAGAAGGUAGGACGGUAGAGGAUUUUUUUUUUUUUAAUAAAGCAAGAGUCUUGUCUUGAGACUUCUGUGAGCCAAAGGAAUUGUAGACAACAUGAAUGAUUAAGUGUCUUCUGUUUCCAGAAUACUUUUCAGCUUUUUUUCUUCCCUUCUUUCCUUCCUUUUGCCAAUGACUAUGUUAUCAGAUGUUUCAGGGAAUAUUCAAAAUACCUGAAAAAGUAAAGCUUAAACAUUUUUUUUUAAAUCCUGUUGUUCUUGAAGCAAUGCAACCUGUCCAUUGCAUUUCUAUCUAUAGAACAAAGUCUCUCAUUUGACCUAUGCAGAUAAUACAGAACUACAAAAACCCCUCACUUGUGCCUGAGGUUUGAUUAACCUUUCUGUGAUUUAUUUCUUAAUAUGGGUACUUUGAAAUCCUCACAUCUUGUACUGAAAUUUGCUCCAAGGAUAGGCAAACACGCACUAUGUAAUGGAGUACCCAGUCCUAGUUCUGAGAUAUGCCCUAGUCAAUCUUUUGAUAAUGUUUGACAGUCUGGUGGUCAGUUCCUCAAGGAUCUGCAUCUCCAUUUGAUGGCAUUCUUCUAGUCCAAGAGAUUCUGUAUCUUUGCAGGUGGACAGAGAAUCCUAUUUCCUCAUCACAGCAAAGCAUACAGCAGGCAUGGCUAUCAACUUCUUGAUCUUAUGAGUGAAAAUAGCACUCUUUUCUCUUGGGUGUCAAACCUAAUCCCAAAUGGAUGGGAUGCAGCAGAGAUGGAUGUUCCCGGCGCGUUAAAGGAAGCCAGACAGUAUUCCAGAUACCAGAAGGUCUUAACAUAAAGCCAUAUCAUAAAGAGGGCUUGUGAAGGCAACUAUUCACACGCAGGCUUUGCCUGCGAAAGAACAUAAGCGACGUUUGAUGUCAGUGAGAUCGUCAUGGAUCAUCCAAAUACAAUUCUCAAAAUAUCAAACUAGUGAAGAUGGUCAUCUUGCAGUCCUGAGAGAGAGGGGAUUGCACCAGCGCUUGGGCCAGUCCCCUCUGCCUGGAAUUCAUAAGGAAGACGAUAGUUUCACCAAGCCUCCACAGGACGAGAGAUUAAUCCCGCUGAAACUGCAAGCCUGCUGUUUGUAGCAGUGGAGUACUUCCCUGGCGGUGAGUUGCUGCUGUAGCCUGUUUGCUGAGUUGCGCUGAUUGAUAACGCUUGCCCUCUUCUGUACGGGGCACUUUUGCGAAUCCUCCACAGCAUCUCCAAGAGCAGAGGUUACUGGCCCAUUUUUAUAACUGGGGAGGUUGAGUUAGUGCACUUUGCCCAAAGCCAUAGCAGUGUGUUGCAGCUGGCAUGAGGAACUAAAAUUCUGGCUCUGUAGAAGCGCCUGGGAGUUUUGCCAUUGGCUCUAAUGGAGCCAGGAUUUCACCCAAGAAAUUUGCUAGGUCCUAGUGUUUGGAUCACUGCUAAUACCUUCCAGAGAAGCUUUGCCAGAACACACUUAACAUAUGAAAUUGCUUAGUAACAGUGAGUUCCGCUGUUGAACUGCAAUUUUAAUCUGUCUAGCAGUGACAUUGUUUAAUUGUAUCUCGUGUGGGUUGACUUAGGUAUGACAAGAUCUUCUGUAGAAAAAUGGUUCUCAGCUAGGUGAUGAUUGACGCCCCGAUUGUUAAUUCCUCUUGAGGCUUUGAAGUGAGCCUGAUGACGUGGGAGCAGAACUCCAGGUGACCCGCUGUAUCACCUAUACCAUGUAUCGGGGUGUUGGGAAGCUUACAGCCUCUCCGCAGGUAUUAACAAACAUGCUGGAUUGGUUGUGAAGUUGUAGGUUGUGAUUGCCGCUUUUAACGGGCUCUGAAGAGUAUUUUUUUCUGAAGUAAAUAUAUGGCUCCUGUGCCGCCUCCUGCCCUCUGACAGAGCGUCGAUCUUCUUUUAGCUAGAAUCGCAUUCUUAAGCUGAAUUCUAAUUCCAAAUAUCUUAAAAUGGUAAUUUCUUUUGGUCGGUCCCCAGCAAGGGUGAAAGAUGAUCAGAAUUUGCUUUCUCUUGUUACCAGGUAUGUUAAAUGAAUAAUAUAAAUAAUUUAAUUACCUCUUUGAUUAAAUCACUGAGACUUCAACCAAUCCCAUGCAGUUUCCUACUGAUUUUAUGUUUAUUUUCUGGCAGAGCUCAAGCUUCAUGGAUUUGUGUGCACAUCAGGAAAACUCUCCGUAGUCAUAUAAAUGAGAUUCAGUGUAAAACACAGAGUCUGGAAAGGUCAUACGAGUAUGUGAAUAAUGGAUGUUUUCUUUUUUAUUAAAGAUAUUGGCCUUCUAUCUCUCAGCACCUUGUAGAGCAGAGAAUGCAACUGCAACAAAUAAGGGUGCCUUAAGCAGCUUCCAAGUCUCCCUACUCUAUUAAAUAUAAAUAAUCCAUACUGUCCUUUUUAGCACAGCAUGCCUUGCCUUGCAGCUGGCUGCCUCGGCAGGUUGUUGUGCAGAGCGCAAUAACGGAGCCAAACGGCUGCACCUUGGUGUAGGGAUUUGACCACAGCUGUGGGGCUGGCACUCGGACCUGGGCAGCACUUGUGGCUGCGCUCUGGAAGAGCUACGUCUGCAUGGAGAAAGCAUACCCUGCGUCGCGUUUUCCUCCUGCCCUAAGUGUCUUUCUGGAGGAUGCAGGGGGUUAAGCAAAACCGCGAGAGUAAUCAGAGAACGCUGCAGUGCAUUUGACGGUGCCCUGAACAGAACCAGCUAUCACCAUCCAUUCCUAUGUAUAGACCACUCAGAAAUGUGUCAGCCUGAAGUGAGAUUAAACAGAUACUCGGAGUCUAGUUCCUCAGUACAACAAGGUGUUGAAUUCUGCCAAACAAGAAUCUGCUCGGUUCGGGUGAGCAGCAUGAUUAGCUCAAUUUGUAUUCUUGUUUUGAAGAAAGACUGAUGGAAUCUGUCUGCAUAAUUGUUUAGGGAAAAAGCCCAACCUGGCCAAGAGAGAUUCCAGGCACAAGAAGUCCCCCGAGCAUUGAUUUCACUGGAAGAGCAAGCAUGGAAAUUGCUCCAAGGAAGAGUUCCUACUCCUGAUGUUCAGUUACAGAAUAUUUUUCCCUUUAUGUUGUUAAUCAAACAGUUUACUGAUCUCGUGAAGGUAGGACUAAGGUAAGGAGGUUGCUAAUGGUUUCCCAUUGUGUUCCUCUGAUCCGUACAUAUGGCUGGUUUCAGAACCCAGAGCCGUCUGAGCCACCAGGCUGGAGGAUCCAAAGGACUUUCCUGGCUGCCAAAGGUCGUUCUGUCAAGAGGGGAGAAUUCUGCCCAGUCUCAGGCUGCCUCAGUUCUUGUGGUGGCUUCUUCCCAACUGUUGCAAAGAUGCAUUUGAUUAUUUAAUGCGAUUUUCUAUUACUUAGUGAUUGAUAUUCUUCUAAUAAAAUACACAUACUGAAA
RNA transcript from Egretta garzetta (little egret), 10736 nucleotides. It is a transcript of the gene named importin 8, with no coding region annotated. The record is from RefSeq and is a predicted model, not a curated record. The transcript has 26 exons. Lineage: Eukaryota; Metazoa; Chordata; Aves; Pelecaniformes; Ardeidae.